This is a non-coding RNA of Delphinapterus leucas (beluga whale), 376 nucleotides long. The record is from RefSeq and is a predicted model, not a curated record. Lineage: Eukaryota; Metazoa; Chordata; Mammalia; Artiodactyla; Monodontidae.
CAAUCAAUCAAUCAAUCAAUAAACAACAACAAAAACAACCCCCUAGAUAUAUAGAUCCAGCCUAUAAAGUAGAAAUGAGAAGAAAAACUUUUAACAUUUCUUCCAUAUCAUCAAAAGGACAUCACUUCAUUAAACACCACUGUUACUAUAGGAAACCCUGACGUUUGACGAUGUGACUGUGGACUUCACGUGGGAGGAGUGGCAGCUCCUGACCCCUCCUCAGAAGGACCUGUACCAAGAGGUGAUGCUGGAGAACUAUAGCAACCUGCUGUCUGUGGGUUAUCAAGCCAGAAAGCCAGACGUACUCUCUAAUUUGGAUCACGGAGAACCAUGGAUGAUAGAAGAUGAAAUCCACUGUCGAACCCAUUCAGGUGAG